This 237-nucleotide ribosomal RNA is filed under the name uncultured bacterium. Its description in RNAcentral is "partial 16S ribosomal RNA". It matches the Rfam family "Bacterial small subunit ribosomal RNA", at positions 540 to 776 of the family's 1533-position model. The record is from RNAcentral.
GUUGUCCGGAUUUAUUGGGUUUAAAGGGUGCGUAGGUGGCCUUAUAAGUCAGCGGUGAAAGUCUGCAGCUUAACUGUAGAACUGCCAUUGAUACUGUAAGGCUUGAGUACUGAUGAGGUAGGCGGAAUUGAUAGUGUAGCGGUGAAAUGCAUAGAUAUUAUCAAGAACACCGAUUGCGAAGGCAGCUUACUAAGGAGUUACUGACACUGAGGCACGAAAGCGUGGGGAUCAAACAGG